Molecule: long non-coding RNA, 395 nt
Filed under: Chinchilla lanigera (long-tailed chinchilla)
Lineage: Eukaryota; Metazoa; Chordata; Mammalia; Rodentia; Chinchillidae
Description: lncRNA (ENSCLAG00000023264.1)
Source: RNAcentral
GCCUAGAGAGGAGACAGUUACACACUGGCUCUUCCUGAGAACAGUCUCUGAAAGAAGGCCAAAAGGAGCAGGAGCAGCUGCAUCUUCCCAAGAAGCUUCCCAGGUCCGAGCUUCAGAAUCUUUGUGCUUGCUGUCUUUAACCUCCAGCAGAGGAAGCGGGAGGAGUCGGCUCAGUGAUCUAAUGCUUCCCACUGAUUUUGAGAUGCUUCAUCAUGGGAGCCUUUCUAAGAAGACACCGUACUCCCAACGCCUUCCCUUGAUGACAUCUAUGUGGUUGUGUGAGAAUCGUAGAGUGACCGCAGUUGCUGAUUUAGAGUAAACCACUUGCUCUAGCCCACAGGAUGAACGCAACACUGUAAGGUGGGGACUGUAGGAUGUGGUAUUGGCCAGUACAA